ACACACACUCAGAUGGAAGUGAAAGUCUGACAUUGGUAUUGUGGCGGAGGAUAGAUUUUAACGCGUGUCACUCUUGACGCCUUCCAUUACUGGUGAUUAAGUGAAGGAGACUAAUCCAGCGUGAGAAAUGUUGUACCAGCUGCCACAAACCAAACCGGGCUCGUCCUCAGCUGCUGAGCGAACUCGGUUGGUACAGAAACGACAGAGUGGCUGCUGGGAUGUGGAGGAGUCAAAGACUUACGCUGAAGGAGACGGUGAUCGCAAACUUGAAUUGUGAAAAAAAAAGGAGGUUUUUGUAUCAGGAGACAGAAAAACAGGGACAGGCCCCCCCACAUACCGUCCAGUCUUCUUUAGAAAAACAAACGUCUUCAUCUCCAGCAGACACACACACUUGGAUAUACCCUGACACUUCAUGUUACUAUUGCUGGAUGGAGGUUGUCAUGGGAACACAUCUUUGACAGUUUCCUCUGCUCACUCGCAGCGAAAAAACACAGAAACUCACUCAGGAGGCAGAGGAAGUGCAGGCGUUAGCAGGACGUAAAAGGGGCAACAAGAAUCAUCAGGAGGCAUCAGUGAGGGACAGUUGAAUGCAUCCAUACGGUGGCUAGGUGUAUAUUUUAGACUGUUGUCAAAUUAUCAUCGUCAGUUACCGCCUACAGAGUUUCAAUUUACCUGAUUUCAUAGAUCCCUGAAUGAAAACAACAACGUCAUAUGCACUUUUCAAAUGACAUGCUUCAGUAGUUUUAUGGUUUAUGGUGUAUCGUAAAUGUAGCUGGAGUCAGGAGCUGGAUAACUUAACUCAACAAAGACUGGAAACUUGUGGAAACAGCUUGUCUGGCUUUGUCCAAAGGUAGCAUAUUAUUUCUAUCUAUUUCUUUUGCUGGGACCAGUUGCCAGGCAACCAGAGGAGACUCCUGGAAGUUGCUGGUGUUGGCCAAGAAAAAGUCUGGCUCCAAAACCCCUCGUGAAACGAUGAAUUGUGUGAAUUAAACAAACAAGAUAUAACAUGCUAAUUAACGAGCUUUAGAGGUCCUGGUAAGCAUAUUUUGUUAACUUCGGACAGAGCCAGGCUAGCUGUUUCCCCCUGUUUCCAGUCUUUGUGAUGAGCUACGCUAGCCAGCUGCUUUUCCAAAAAUGUCAAACUAUUCCUUUAAGUUUGAAAAAGAAAUCAAAAUGUUAACGCUCCAACUCUAAGUCUAUUUUUUAUAGUUUCAUUGGUUUGAUGAAAAACUAGGUUCAUAAAAGGUUGUUUGAACUUGCAGAGUUCUCGUCCGUGUGUACCAAUAGUGUAAUCUACAUAUGUGUUUACAUUCAUGAUCGACUUUGCUGAGUUGUACUGCAAAGUGAGAAUGACGGAUCGCCCCAGCACCAGAGACAUGUGGUGCUCUUACAGAUAAUGAAUUGCAGACUCAGUCUCUCUGCUCCCAUCUGUCUGGUUGUCUGUCUCCCUGUCAGAGAUUUAGGACUCUCAACAUUAAGCCUGCCAUUACUCCCAAAAAGAUGCUCAGUAAUCACAUCAUGAGUGCAACAGAAAAACAUUUGCAUGCAUGUGUGCGG
Sebastes umbrosus (honeycomb rockfish) is the source of this 1557-nucleotide long non-coding RNA. RefSeq lists it as uncharacterized. Lineage: Eukaryota; Metazoa; Chordata; Actinopteri; Perciformes; Sebastidae. The record is from RefSeq and is a predicted model, not a curated record. The transcript is spliced from 4 exons.